GAUGAAGAACGUAGCGAAAUGCGAUAAGUAAUGUGAAUUGCAGAAUUCAGUGAAUCAUCGAAUCUUUGAACGCACCUUGCGCCCUUUGGCCAUUCCGAAGGGCAUGCCUGUUUGAGUAUCAUGAACACCUCAACUCUUUAUGGUUUUCCAUGAUGAGCUUGGACUCUGGGGGUUUUGCUGGCUCACAGUCGGCUCCUCUAAAAUGAAUCAGCUUACCAGUGUUUGGUGGGUAUCAUGGGUGUGAUAACUAUCUACGCUUGUGGUUUUUCCACCAGGUAACCUUCAGCAGUGGAGGUUCGCUGGAGCUCAUAGAUGUCUCUCCUCAGUGAGGACAGCCCUUUGAAUGUUUGAUCUCAAAUCAGGUAGGACUACCCGCUGAACUUAAGCAUAUCAAUAAGCGGAUGA
Molecule: unclassified non-coding RNA, 405 nt
Filed under: soil metagenome
Description: partial contains 5.8S ribosomal RNA, internal transcribed spacer 2, and large subunit ribosomal RNA
Rfam family: 5.8S ribosomal RNA (bases 1-121)
Source: RNAcentral